This 73-nucleotide transfer RNA is filed under the name Microbacterium sp. RNAcentral's name for it is "tRNA-Arg". It matches the Rfam family "tRNA". Rfam says of the family: Transfer RNA (tRNA) molecules are approximately 80 nucleotides in length. Their secondary structure includes four short double-helical elements and three loops (D, anti-codon, and T loops). Lineage: Bacteria; Bacillati; Actinomycetota; Actinomycetes; Micrococcales; Microbacteriaceae. The record is from RNAcentral.
GCCUCCGUAGCUCAGGGGACAGAGCGUUGGUUUCCGGUACCAAAGGUCGCAGGUUCGAUUCCUGUCGGGGGCA